ACACUCACUUUGGCAUAUGUGCUAAAAUUGGAAUCAUACAGAGAAGAUUAGCAUGACACUUGUACAGGAUGGCACAUAUAUUUGUGAAGCCUUUUGUAUUUUG
Molecule: small nuclear RNA, 103 nt
Organism: Pteronotus mesoamericanus
Lineage: Eukaryota; Metazoa; Chordata; Mammalia; Chiroptera; Mormoopidae
Source: RefSeq, a predicted model, not a curated record